AGUCCCUUUGUGGACAUCCAAUAAAAAUCGGAACGAUAAACAGAAGAUUAGCAUGAUUCAUCUGGAAAAAUAACACGUACAAAUCGAGAAAUUGUUACAUUCGUU
Morus notabilis is the source of this 105-nucleotide non-coding RNA. Lineage: Eukaryota; Viridiplantae; Streptophyta; Magnoliopsida; Rosales; Moraceae. The record is from Rfam.